GCCGCCGUCUCCGACCAACGUUCGCCGGAGCCGCCGUGACCGACCACCGUCCGUCCGCCGCCGAGAAGCCGCCGCCGCGUCGCCGCCUCGCCGCCGUCGCCGCAGUUGAUUUUCAGGUAAGCCGCCGGGGACCGACACCGGUGACUCGCCGGUGACUCGCCAACUCGGCCGAGUCAACCCGGUGAGUCAACUCGGUGACUCGGUCAACCUGUGGUUUGACCGGUUUAAAUCGAUUUCGAUUCGGUUAGGUUAAACCGGUUGGAUAAAAUCAAUUGGAAAUCGAUUUGGAGUCCAUUUGAGCAGCUGGAGUUCAUAGAUACCACUUCUUAUUGCUAAGGUGAGACCGAUGAGCAGGAGUGAUUAUCGGACCGAUGCUAUUGGACUUUUGGGCUUCUAUUGCUUUUACCGCUUUUAUCUUUAUCGGGCCUUUAGGCCUUUGGACUUUUAUCGUUUAUGUUAUUCCUAUUUCAGACUUUCGGUUUAUGUCGUAUUUUAUAUUUCGAAUGUUAUCGAUGUUGGGCUUUUAGACCUUUU
This is a long non-coding RNA of Brassica oleracea var. oleracea, 534 nucleotides long. RefSeq lists it as uncharacterized. The transcript has 3 exons. The record is from RefSeq and is a predicted model, not a curated record. NCBI's taxonomy places the organism in Eukaryota, Viridiplantae, Streptophyta, Magnoliopsida, Brassicales, Brassicaceae.